This 253-nucleotide ribosomal RNA is filed under the name uncultured bacterium. RNAcentral's name for it is "partial 16S ribosomal RNA". It matches the Rfam family "Bacterial small subunit ribosomal RNA", at positions 524 to 776 of the family's 1533-position model. The record is from RNAcentral.
UACGGGGGGGGUAAGCGUUGUUCGGAAUUACUGGGCGUAAAGGGCUCGUAGGCGGCCAACUAAGUCAGACGUGAAAUCCCUCAGCUUAACUGGGGAACUGCGUCUGAUACUGGAUGGCCUGGAUUUGGGAGAGGGAUGCGGAAUUCCAGGUGUAGCGGUGAAAUGCGUAGAUAUCUGGAGGAACACCGGUGGCGAAGGCGGCAUCCUGGACCAAUAUUGACGCUGAGGAGCGAAAGCCAGGGGAGCGAACAGG